Molecule: ribosomal RNA, 253 nt
Filed under: uncultured bacterium
Lineage: Bacteria
Description: partial 16S ribosomal RNA
Rfam family: Bacterial small subunit ribosomal RNA
Source: RNAcentral
UACGUAGGUGACAAGCGUUGUCCGGAUUUACUGGGCGUAAAGAGUAUGUAGGUGGGCAUUUAAGUCAGAUGUGAAAUUCCCGGGCUUAACCUGGGAGCUGCAUUUGAAACUGGGUGCCUAGAGUGCAGGAGAGGAAAGUGGAAUUCCUAGUGUAGCGGUGAAAUGCGUAGAGAUUAGGAAGAACACCAGUGGCGAAGGCGACUUUCUGGACUGUAACUGACACUGAGAUACGAAAGCGUGGGUAGCAAACAGG